This 291-nucleotide ribosomal RNA is filed under the name Triticum aestivum (bread wheat). RNAcentral's name for it is "partial small subunit ribosomal RNA". Lineage: Eukaryota; Viridiplantae; Streptophyta; Magnoliopsida; Poales; Poaceae. The record is from RNAcentral.
AUGUUGAUGCAAGACUACUUCGCGGAGAAUCCAACAUAUCCAUCGCACCUCUUCCGGAGAAGGUAUCGAAUGCACCGAUCUCUCUUUGUGAAAAUUGUUCAAGCUUGCGAGGCCAAUUGUCGGUAUUUUACUCAAAGAAGAAAUAUCACGGGCUUGAAGGGAUAUAGUGCAUAUCAAAAAAUCUCGGCCGCUAUGAGGGUAAUUGCAUAUGGCAUUCCGGCUGACCAUGCCGAUGAGUACCUUCGCAUUGUUGAAGAUACCACUAAUGGCUAUAGAUGGGAUGGGCACUAA